This 448-nucleotide ribosomal RNA is filed under the name uncultured bacterium. RNAcentral's name for it is "partial 16S ribosomal RNA". It matches the Rfam family "Bacterial small subunit ribosomal RNA", at positions 29 to 523 of the family's 1533-position model. The record is from RNAcentral.
AACGAACGCUGGCGGCAGGCUUAACACAUGCAAGUCGAGCGCCCCGCAAGGGGAGCGGCAGACGGGUGAGUAACGCGUGGGGAUCUGCCUAGUGGUACGGAACAACACGGGGAAACUCGUGCUAAUACCGUAUAAGCCCUUCGGGAGAAAGAUUUAUCGCCAUUAGAUGAACCCGCGUCUGAUUAGCUAGUUGGUGAGGUAACGGCUCACCAAGGCGACGAUCAGUAGCUGGUCUGAGAGGAUGAUCAGCCACACUGGGACUGGAGACACGGCCCAGACUCCUACGGGAGGCAGCAGUGGGGAAUAUUGGACAAUGGGCGCAAGCCUGAUCCAGCCAUGCCGCGUGAGUGAUGAAGGCCUUAGGGUUGUAAAGCUCUUUCGCUGGGGAAGAUAAUGACGGUACCCAGAGAAGAAGCCCCGGCUAACUUCGUGCCAGCCGCCGCAGUAA